UAGAUAAUUUUGCUCUAUGUGCUUCACUUAGAUCUUUUAGAGCACGGCGGUGCGUGACUUCGUAGUUGGUUUGUGCUAUGAAAGUAGUCCCAAAGGUGAUAGGUACCCAAAGAGGAUACAAAACUUCCAUCUUCAUGUGCAUUGAGUAGAAAGAGAAGUCUGAUUCCUCUCAAGUAGUUUUGAGACGUGGAUUUUGCAAAAGUUGACUUGAGACGUGGAAGCCGGAGCAUAAUUAAUCUAUUGAUUGUCAUCCUUUGUGUUGCGGUCGGGAUCGCGCGAUGGUUAACACCUACCAACCCUUCCCCUAGGAGUAUGCAUUUAGCACUUUGUUUCGAUUAUUAAUAAAAACUUUCGCAACAAGUAUGUGAGUUAUUCAUCACUUAUGUGAGUCCAUGGUAUAGAUGCACUUUUACCUUCCACCAUUGCUAGCCUCUCUAGUACCGCGCAAUUUUCGUCGGUGCACAAACUCACCAUAUGCC
This 479-nucleotide long non-coding RNA is filed under the name Hordeum vulgare. Its description in RNAcentral is "long non-coding RNA (HVUL_LNC004256)". Lineage: Eukaryota; Viridiplantae; Streptophyta; Magnoliopsida; Poales; Poaceae. The record is from RNAcentral.